UACGGGGGGAGCAAGCGUUGUUCGGAUUUACUGGGCGUAAAGGGCGCGUAGGCGGUCGUGCCAAGUCACUUGUGAAAUCUCCGGGCUUAACUCGGAACGGUCAAGUGAUACUGUCGGACUAGAGUACAGAAGGGGCAACUGGAAUUCUCGGUGUAGCGGUGAAAUGCUUAGAUAUGACAUAGAACACCAAUUGCGAAGGCAGCUUACUAGCCGAAUAUUGACACUGAGGCACGAAAGCGUGGGGAUCAAACAGG
Molecule: ribosomal RNA, 254 nt
Filed under: uncultured bacterium
Lineage: Bacteria
Description: partial 16S ribosomal RNA
Rfam family: Bacterial small subunit ribosomal RNA
Source: RNAcentral